Long non-coding RNA from Xenia sp. Carnegie-2017, 966 nucleotides. RefSeq lists it as uncharacterized. The record is from RefSeq and is a predicted model, not a curated record. The transcript has 4 exons. NCBI's taxonomy places the organism in Eukaryota, Metazoa, Cnidaria, Anthozoa, Malacalcyonacea, Xeniidae.
CGCUCAAUAAAGGGACAUUUAACCUAAUUAUUUGUGGAAAACCAUGCCCAACCGAAAAGAUCUCGUGUUUGCAAAGUGGAUGAAAUGAUUCUUCGGGAACUUCAUAUCAACAAAUUAAAGUAUGUGGAAGCGGGACUUCAUCGUGCUAAGUGAAGAAGAGCUAUAUGUGUCAUGAUGUUUUACGAUUUGUGGACAAGAUUUAACGAGAUCGACUCGUGCAAGCGACUGAGGCCCUCAAACAAACGAAAGGAAAUUCUUGCACACUCGAGUCGUGUGUCUAUACAUCCUGAAGUGAAAGCAAUCAUUAUAGGCUAUGUAUAUUGUUGUGUUUACGUAUUCAAGACAGUUCUCACAAAGAUCUUUUAUGUAGCUAUCACACGUCGAAGAUUUUCGACUUCAAGUUUCUCUUUCAAUUUCUCUAUCAAUGAAAAUUUUACGAAAUGAUUUUGAUUUAACUGAAAUUCUUAUCCGAUCUUUGGACCAGCUGCACAGUGCUUAAAAACUAGUUACGUUACACGGUUGAGCAUACAAUUUUACGUAUAGAUAUAGUGAGCUCGACACUUGAGAUCGGUGAAGAUGCGUAGAAAUUUCCACAAUGAAGACUGUCGUCAUCAGACAAGCACUUCAUUCAUAAAGAUGAACGGACAAGGUUAGCAACGCAUUGAUUUGAAGUGAACUUGAGGGAGGAUGUUUGAAAAAAAUGCAUGGUAACAGAACUUUCAUGAAAAAUUUGAUGACAUGAAAUUAGUUAAAAAAAAACUAUUGUUAAAAUUCAUAAUCUUUUUUUUAUUUUCGAAAAAGGUAAUUAGCUGUCUAUCGAUCUUAUGUCUAGUCGAAGCAACAGGCAAUUUAGUGAUCGAUAGCUCAUCCAUUUUGUUCUGAGGUAAUUAGCCUGAACAAACUUGAACUGCUUAUCUAUACUUUAUCUUUUGAUAGAAAGUCGUUUAAUUAAUUAUUCCUAUGAUA